Molecule: small RNA, 701 nt
Filed under: Pan troglodytes (chimpanzee)
Lineage: Eukaryota; Metazoa; Chordata; Mammalia; Primates; Hominidae
Description: processed transcript
Source: RNAcentral
CUACCAUUUGGUACAAGCGGAAAGCAAUCAGCAGUUGGACAGGAGAAGAAUGGCAUUGAAGCAGAUUUCCAGCAACAAGUGCUUUGGGGGAUUGCAGAAAGUUUUUGAACAUGACAGUGUUGAACUGAACUGCAAAAUGAAAUUUGCUGUCUACUUACCAUCAAAGGCAGAAACAGGAAAGUGCCCUGCACUGUAUUGGCUCUCAGGACAGUUUCCUUAGUGAGAUGCUGAAGAACAGAUAGACCUUGGAAAUUAAGGCUUGAUUUUCUGAGUAAAGGUUUAACUUGCACAGAACAAAAUUUUAUAUCAAAAUCUGGUUAUCAUCAGUCUGCUUCAGAACAUGGUCUUGUUGUCAUUGCUCCAGAUACCAGCCCUCGUGGCUGCAAUAUUAAAGGAGAAGAUGAGAGCUGGGACUUUGGCACUGGUGCUGGAUUUUAUGUUGAUGCCACUGAAGAUCCUUGGAAAACCAACUACAGAAUGUACUCUUAUGUCACAGAGGAGCUUCCCCAACUCAUAAAUGCCAAUUUUCCAGUGGAUCCCCAAAGGAUGUCUAUUUUUGGCCACUCCAUGGGAGGUCAUGGAGCUCUGAUCUGUGCUUUGAAAAAUCCUGGAAAAUACAAAUCUGUGUCAGCAUUUGCUCCAAUUUGCAACCCUGUACUCUGUCCCUGGGGCAAAAAAGCCUUUAGUGGAUAUUUGGGAAC